UAAGGAAUAUUGGUCAAUGGACGCAAGUCUGAACCAGCCAUGCCGCGUGAAGGAUGAAGGUCCUCUGGAUUGUAAACUUCUUUUAUCUGGGACGAAAACGGGAUUUUUAUCUCAAUUGACGGUACCAGAGGAAUAAGCACCGGCUAACUCCGUGCCAGCAGCCGCGGUAAUACGGCGGGUGCGAGCGUUAUCCGGAUUUACUGGGUUGAAAGGGUGCGUAGGUGGGCUUAUAAGUCAGUGGUGAAAUCUCCGAGCUUAACUUGGAAACUGCCGUUGAUACUAUAGGUCUUGAAUUAUCUGGUGGUAAGCGGAAUAUGUCAUGUAGCGGUGAAAUGCUUAGAUAUGACAUAGAACACCAAUUGCGAAGGCAGCUUACUACAUAUAAAUUGACGCUGAGGCACGAAAGCGUGGGGAUCAAACA
This 421-nucleotide ribosomal RNA is filed under the name uncultured bacterium. Its description in RNAcentral is "bacterial SSU rRNA". It matches the Rfam family "Bacterial small subunit ribosomal RNA", at positions 355 to 774 of the family's 1533-position model. The record is from RNAcentral.